This 398-nucleotide ribosomal RNA is filed under the name uncultured bacterium. RNAcentral's name for it is "bacterial SSU rRNA". It matches the Rfam family "Bacterial small subunit ribosomal RNA", at positions 90 to 486 of the family's 1533-position model. The record is from RNAcentral.
GACGAGUGGCGCACGGGUGCGCAACGCGUAUAGAACCUACCCUGUACAGGGGGAUAGCCCGGAGAAAUCCGGAUUAAUACCCCGUAGUANUUAGAAUUGGCAUCGAUUUUAAUUUAAAGCUUCGGCGGUACAGGAUGGCUAUGCGUCCUAUUAGCCAGAUGGUGAGGUAACGGCUCACCAUAGCUAUGAUAGGUAGGGGCCCUGAGAGGGGGAUCCCCCACACUGGUACUGAGACACGGACCAGACUCCUACGGGAGGCAGCAGUGAGGAAUAUUGGACAAUGGGCUCACGCCUGAUCCAGCCAUGCCGCGUGCAGGAAGACAGCCCUAUGGGUUGUAAACUGCUUUUAUACGGGAAGAAUAAGGGGCACGUGUGCCCUGGUGACGGUACCGUAAGAA